GGGGUAUAGCUCAGUUGGUAAAGUGCUUGCCUUGCAUGCAAAAGGCCCUGGGUUUCAUACCCAGCACCACCA
Molecule: transfer RNA, 72 nt
Filed under: Urocitellus parryii (Arctic ground squirrel)
Lineage: Eukaryota; Metazoa; Chordata; Mammalia; Rodentia; Sciuridae
Also listed under: 2 other names
Description: Spermophilus parryii (Arctic ground squirrel) tRNA
Rfam family: tRNA
About the family: Transfer RNA (tRNA) molecules are approximately 80 nucleotides in length.
Source: Rfam by way of RNAcentral